Molecule: ribozyme, 69 nt
Filed under: Trichomalopsis sarcophagae
Lineage: Eukaryota; Metazoa; Arthropoda; Insecta; Hymenoptera; Pteromalidae
Description: HDV ribozyme from F. prausnitzii
Rfam family: HDV ribozyme from F. prausnitzii
Source: Rfam by way of RNAcentral
GAUGCUUUGACUCAUUCACCUCCACGCGGUAAGUGUCGGGAAACGUUGUACAACGGCUAAGAAAUGAGA